This 403-nucleotide ribosomal RNA is filed under the name Fusobacteriota bacterium. RNAcentral describes it as "Fusobacteria bacterium partial 16S ribosomal RNA". It matches the Rfam family "Bacterial small subunit ribosomal RNA", at positions 355 to 776 of the family's 1533-position model. The record is from RNAcentral. Lineage: Bacteria; Fusobacteriati; Fusobacteriota.
UGGGGAAUAUUGCACAAUGGAGAGAACUCUGAUGCAGCGACGCCGCGUGAACGAAGAAGGCUUUCGAGUCGUAAAGUUCUUUUAUAUGGGAAGAUAAUGACGGUACCAUAAGAAAAAGCCCCGGCUAACUACGUGCCAGCAGCCGCGGUAAUACGUAGGGGGCUAGCGUUGUCCGGAAUCACUGGGCGUAAAGGGUUCGCAGGCGGAAAUGCAAGUCAGGUGUAAAAGGCAGUAGCUUAACUACUGUAAGCAUUUGAAACUGCAUAUCUUGAGAAGAGUAGAGGUAAGUGGAAUUUUUAGUGUAGCGUUGAAAUGCGUAGAUAUUAAAAAGAAUACCGGUGGCGAAGGCGACUUACUGGGCUCAUUCUGACGCUGAGGAACGAAAGCGUGGGUAGCAAACAGG